GUUGACAUCUAAUUUUGUCCUAAGUACGAAGAAAAAUGGAAACUUACAAAGUUUGCGAAGGAACAACAGAAUAUCAAGACUUGUUACCUGUGAUGGCUGAAAAAUUAGACGUGGAGGCCUUUGUGGCGGAGCUAUGUGGUGGGUUCAGGCUUCUAUCAGACCCUAAAAAUGGAUUGAUCACAUCGUCGAGCUUACAAAAGAAUUCGGGUUUUUUAGGGAUGGAAGGGAUGAGUAGAGAAGAUGCAGAGGCUAUGGUAAAAGAAGGAGACUUAGAUGGAGAUGGAGCACUGAAUGAAACUGAAUUUUGUAUUCUUAUGGUUAGACUUAGUCCAGAAAUGAUGCAAGAUGCUGAGGUAUGGCUUGAUAAGGCACUUCAAAGAGAGUUAGCUAAAUCAUCUUGUUCAUAAUUGUCUAUCAAAAAUAUGAAAUGGACAAGAAGAAGAAAAAAAGAAUAUGAGAAGCUUU
Molecule: unclassified non-coding RNA, 465 nt
Filed under: Hevea brasiliensis (rubber tree)
Lineage: Eukaryota; Viridiplantae; Streptophyta; Magnoliopsida; Malpighiales; Euphorbiaceae
Source: RNAcentral